GAUGAACGCUAGCGGCAGGCUUAACACAUGCAAGUCGAGGGGCAGCGCGAUGUAGCAAUACAUUGGCGGCGACCGGCGCACGGGUGCGUAACACGUAUGGAACUUACCCUUUACUGGGAGAUAGCCCGGAGAAAUCCGGAUUAAUAUCCCAUAAUAAACGAAGUGGCAUCACUUUGUUUUGAAAGCUCCGGCGGUAAAGGAUGGCCAUGCGCACGAUUAGCUAGUAGGUGAGGUAACGGCUCACCUAGGCUACGAUCGUUAGGGGGCCUGAGAGGGUUAUCCCCCACACUGGUACUGAGACACGGACCAGACUCCUACGGGAGGCAGCAGUGAGGAAUAUUGCGCAAUGGAGGCAACUCUGACGCAGCCAUGCCGCGUGCAGGAAGAAGGCGCUACGCGUUGUAAACUGCUUUUUAACCGGGAAGAAACCCUCCGACGUGUCGGAGGUUGACGGUACCGGAGGAAUAAGCACCGGCUAACUUCGUGCCAGCAGCCGCGGUAAAGUCAG
RNAcentral lists this ribosomal RNA (508 nucleotides) under uncultured bacterium. RNAcentral describes it as "bacterial SSU rRNA". It matches the Rfam family "Bacterial small subunit ribosomal RNA", at positions 28 to 529 of the family's 1533-position model. The record is from RNAcentral.